UGGACAGAUUAUUGUAUUCGACUGUAUUCACGGCGUGAAAUAGGGGAUUACACUGUUUUUAAAACGGAAAGUGAAUCAAUUAACAUAAUAGAAUCGU
MicroRNA precursor from Nicotiana attenuata, 97 nucleotides. It matches the Rfam family "MIR6152 microRNA precursor family". The record is from Rfam. NCBI's taxonomy places the organism in Eukaryota, Viridiplantae, Streptophyta, Magnoliopsida, Solanales, Solanaceae.